RNAcentral lists this ribosomal RNA (887 nucleotides) under uncultured Candidatus Saccharibacteria bacterium. RNAcentral's name for it is "bacterial SSU rRNA". It matches the Rfam family "Bacterial small subunit ribosomal RNA", at positions 571 to 1482 of the family's 1533-position model. Lineage: Bacteria; Candidatus Saccharimonadota. The record is from RNAcentral.
GUAGGUGGCAUAGUAUGUCUGUAGUGAAAGCGUGUGGCUCAACCAUAUACACAUUACAGAAACUGCUAAGCUAGAGGGCGAGAGAGGUAACUAGAAUUCCUAGUGUAGGAGUGGAAUCCGUAGAUAUUAGGAGGAAUACCGAUGGCGUAGGCAGGUUACUGGCUCGUCCCUGACACUAAGGCACGAAAGCGUGGGGAGCAAACGGGAUUAGAUACCCCGGUAGUCCACGCCGUAAACGAUGGAUGCUAGCUGUAAGAGGUAUCGACCCCUCUUGUAGCGAAGCUAACGCGUUAAGCAUCCCGCCUGUGGAGUACGGUCGCAAGACUAAAACAUAAAGGAAUUGACGGGGACCCGCACAAGCGGUGGAGCGUGUUCUUUAAUUCGAUGCUAAACGAAGAACCUUACCAGGGCUUGACAUCCCGAGAAUUACUGCGAAAGCAGUGAGUGCCUUAGGGAACUCGGUGACAGGUGCUGCAUGGCCGUCGUCAGCUCGUGUCGUGAGAUGUUUGGUUAAGUCCAUCAACGAGCGCAACCCCUAUGAAUAGUUGAAUUUUUCUAUUCAGACUGCCCCGGCAACGGGGAGGAGGGGGGGGAUGAUGUCAGGUCAGUAUUGCCCUUACGUCCUGGGCUAGAAACGCGCUACAAUGGCCGGUACAACGCGAUGCCAACCCGCAAGGGGGAGCAAAUCGCAUCAAAGCCGGUCCCAGUUCAGAUUGCAGGCUGAAACUCGCCUGCAUGAAGUCGGAAUCGCUAGUAACGGUAGGUCAGCUAUACUACCGUGAAUACGUUCCCGGGUCUUGUACACACCGCCCGUCAAACCAUGAAAGUCACCAAUACCUGACGUGUUGCCUUCGCGCAGCCCUAAGGUAGGGGGGAUGAUUGGGGUU